This 253-nucleotide ribosomal RNA is filed under the name uncultured bacterium. RNAcentral's name for it is "partial 16S ribosomal RNA". It matches the Rfam family "Bacterial small subunit ribosomal RNA", at positions 524 to 776 of the family's 1533-position model. The record is from RNAcentral.
UACGGAGGGUGCAAGCGUUAUUCGGAUUUACUGGGCGUAAAGGGCGCGUAGGCGGCUUGAUAAGUCAGUUGUGAAAGCCCGGGGCUCAACCCCGGAAGUGCAAUUGAAACUAUCAGGCUUGAGUAUGGUAGAGGGAAGUGGAAUUCCAGGUGUAGCGGUGAAAUGCGUAGAUAUCUGGAGGAACACCGGUGGCGAAGGCGACUUCCUGGACCAAUACUGACGCUGAUGCGCGAAGGUGUGGGUAGCAAACAGG